This 909-nucleotide ribosomal RNA is filed under the name Roussoella hysterioides. RNAcentral describes it as "LSU rRNA". It matches the Rfam family "Eukaryotic large subunit ribosomal RNA", at positions 39 to 966 of the family's 3401-position model. Lineage: Eukaryota; Fungi; Ascomycota; Dothideomycetes; Pleosporales; Thyridariaceae. The record is from RNAcentral.
CAUAUCAAUAAGCGGAGGAAAAGAAACCAACAGGGAUUGCCUCAGUAACGGCGAGUGAAGCGGCAACAGCUCAAAUUUGAAAUCUGGCCCUUUCAGGGUCCGAGUUGUAAUUUGCAGAGGGUGCUUUGGCGUCGGCCGUGGUCUAAGUUCCUUGGAACAGGACGUCACAGAGGGUGAGAAUCCCGUACGUGGCCGCCGGUCUUCGCCGUGUAAAGCCCCUUCGACGAGUCGAGUUGUUUGGGAAUGCAGCUCUAAAUGGGAGAUAAAUUUCUUCUAAAGCUAAAUAUUGGCCAGAGACCGAUAGCGCACAAGUAGAGUGAUCGAAAGAUGAAAAGCACUUUGGAAAGAGAGUCAAAAAGCACGUGAAAUUGUUGAAAGGGAAGCGCUUGCAGCCAGACGUGCCCGCAGUUGCUCACCCGGGCUCUCGCCCGGGGCACUCUUCUGCGGGCAGGCCAGCAUCAGUUCGGGCGGUUGGAUAAAGGCCUCUAUCACGUAUCUUCCUUCGGGAUGACCUUAUAGGGGAGGCGCAACACGGCCAGCCCGAACUGAGGACCGCGCAUUCGCUAGGAUGCUGGCGUAAUGGCUGUAAGCGGCCCGUCUUGAAACACGGACCAAGGAGUCUAACAUCUAUGCGAGUGUUUGGGUGUCAAGCCCGGACGCGCAAUGAAAGUGAACGGAGGUGGGAACCCCUCGGGGUGCACCAUCGACCGAUCCUGAAGUCUUCGGAUGGAUUUGAGUAAGAGCAUAGCUGUUGGGACCCGAAAGAUGGUGAACUAUGCCUGAAUAGGGUGAAGCCAGGGGAAACCCUGGUGGAGGCUCGCAGCGGUUCUGACGUGCAAAUCGAUCGUCAAAUUUGGGCAUAGGGGCGAAAGACUAAUCGAACCAUCUAGUAGCUGGUUCCUGCCGAUU